AGUGAACGCUGGCGGUAGGCCUAACACAUGCAAGUCGAACGGCAGCACAGUAAGAGCUUGCUCUUACGGGUGGCGAGUGGCGGACGGGUGAGGAAUACAUCGGAAUCUACUUUUUCGUGGGGGAUAACGUAGGGAAACUUACACUAAUACCGCAUACGACCUACGGGUGAAAGCAGGGGAUCUUCGGACCUUGCGCGAUUGAAUGAGCCGAUGUCGGAUUAGCUAGUUGGCGGGGUAAAGGCCCACCAAGGCGACGAUCCGUAGCUGGUCUGAGAGGAUGAUCAGCCACACUGGAACUGAGACACGGUCCAGACUCCUACGGGAGGCAGCAGUGGGGAAUAUUGGACAAUGGGCGCAAGCCUGAUCCAGCCAUACCGCGUGGGUGAAGAAGGCCUUCGGGUUGUAAAGCCCUUUUGUUGGGAAAGAAAAGCAGCAGGUUAAUACCCCGCUGUUCUGACGGUACCCAAAGAAUAAGUACCGGCUAACUUCGUG
RNAcentral lists this ribosomal RNA (492 nucleotides) under uncultured bacterium. RNAcentral's name for it is "partial 16S ribosomal RNA". It matches the Rfam family "Bacterial small subunit ribosomal RNA", at positions 29 to 507 of the family's 1533-position model. The record is from RNAcentral.